UUGAACGCUGGCGGCAUGCUUUACACAUGCAAGUCGAGCGGCAGCGCGGGGGCAACCCUGGCGGCGAGCGGCGAACGGGUGAGUAACACAUCGGAACGUACCCAGUUGUGGGGGAUAGCCCGGCGAAAGCCGGAUUAAUACCGCAUACGACCUGAGGGUGAAAGGGGGGGAUCGCAAGACCUCUCGCAGUUGGAGCGGCCGAUGGCGGAUUAGCUAGUUGGUGGGGUAAAGGCUCACCAAGCCGACGAUCUGUAGCUGGUCUGAGAGGACGACCAGCCACACUGGGACUGAGACACGGCCCAGACUCCUACGGGAGGCAGCAGUGGGGAAUUUUGGACAAUGGGCGAAAGCCUGAUCCAGCAAUGCCGCGUGCAGGAAGAAGGCCUUCGGGUUGUAAACUGCUUUUGUACGGAGCGAAAAGGCUCUCUCUAAUACAGGGGGCUCAUGACGGUACCGUAAGAAUAAGCACCGGCUAACUACGU
RNAcentral lists this ribosomal RNA (482 nucleotides) under uncultured bacterium. RNAcentral's name for it is "bacterial SSU rRNA". It matches the Rfam family "Bacterial small subunit ribosomal RNA", at positions 29 to 506 of the family's 1533-position model. The record is from RNAcentral.